UACGUAGGGGCAAGCGUUGUCCGGAAUCAUUGGGCGUAAAGAGCGCGUAGGCGGCCCUGUAAGUCCGCUGUGAAAGUCAAGGGCUCAACCCUUGAAUGCCGGUGGAUACUGCAGGGCUAGAGUCCGGAAGAGGCGAGUGGAAUUCCUGGUGUAGCGGUGAAAUGCGCAGAUAUCAGGAGGAACACCGGUGGCGAAGGCGGGUCUCGUGGGACCG
This 214-nucleotide ribosomal RNA is filed under the name uncultured bacterium. RNAcentral describes it as "partial 16S ribosomal RNA". It matches the Rfam family "Bacterial small subunit ribosomal RNA", at positions 524 to 736 of the family's 1533-position model. The record is from RNAcentral.